AUGAACCCUGCUGCAGCUAUUGUAUAUGGCCUUGACAAGAGAACUAAUUGUGUGGGAGAACGGAAUAUUUUUGUCUUCGACCUUGGUGGUGGGACUUUUGAUGUGUCUCUUCUUACUAUUAAGGAUAAGGUCUUCCAGGUUAAGGCUACUGCAGGAAACACUCACCUUGGAGGAGAGGACUUUGAUAAUAGAAUGGUGAACUAUUUUGUAGAGGAGAUCAAAAGGAAGAAAAAGUUAGACAUUGUUGGUAACCCGAAAGCCUUGAGGAGACUGAGAACAAUGUUGAUCUAA
Molecule: non-coding RNA, 291 nt
Organism: Vicia faba (fava bean)
Lineage: Eukaryota; Viridiplantae; Streptophyta; Magnoliopsida; Fabales; Fabaceae
Source: the annotation of a GenBank genome assembly